GUUUGUGACUGCUGAGGCAUGACAGGAACUCCCUGGACAAGCUGAUUUUAAAUAAGAAAAUGCCUCUCUUACUCUUUUUGAGUUAAAAUAUGGUUUAUUAUAUAAGAUCAGACCUGCAGAAAUAUUAUUUAUUAAAUAAUACUGCUAAUAGAGGGUAGGAGUUUUUUAAACAUGGAGUUCUUACUGUGGCGUAGUGGGUUAAGAAUCUAGCUUCAGUGGCUUGGGUCGCUGCACAGACAUGGGUUUGAUCCCCACCCCUGUGCAGUGGGUUAAGGAUCUGGCCAUUGCCACAGCUGUGGCUUGGAUUCACUUCCUGGCUUGGGAACUUCCAUAUGGCGCUGGUCAGGCCAUAAGUUUAAAAAAAAAAAUUAACUCCUCCAGGAAAUCCUACACCUGUGUGCACCUCUGCUCUAGAAGCUUGGUUAUUCCCUCCCACCCUAGGACAUAUUGGAAGGAAUAUGGUCAAAAGAAUGGCAACUGGAAGUCUGUGGCAGUUAGUGGAAAGUGAGGAGGUUGGCCAAGAGGAAACUAGGCAAGUGCCAGGGAUAAAGGGUACAGACAGGUGAUACCUUCCUAUGUGUUCAGCCAUACAGGCUCUCAUGGAUGCAGAGGCCCAGAAGCAGGUGUCAAGACAUGAAAAUAGGUCAAAACCAAGAGCAAAUGUUGAACGUCAGUAGAAGGGAGCCUGUGUGCACAUGAAGUCUUUAGAGAAUUCAGGCAGAGGCCCAGUUGUUUUCCAACUGGCUUUUAUUCCUGCUCUCUCCUCAGAGAGCUUUAAAUGCACCAAGCUGCAACCUCAGAGAGAUUUUCAUAGAAGAAGAAAGAUAUUUUCUAGUUAAUCUGGUGAAUUUAUAAAACCAAGAAGGAUCAGGAUGAAUAUGGAGCAAUUCUUUGAAAACUAGAGCCACAGUCUCUCAGUCUAGUCAUUGAAAGUAGCCUAACUUAACAAAUAGUCCUCACCGAGGAGGGAUAGUCUGGGAAUACAGAUCAGUACGAAACCUGGUAUUUCCAUGAAAUUGCAGAUGUUUGUCAGAAUGUUCUCUACCUUUGGAAAAGUAGAGAUUUUAUUUUUCUCAUUGUUGCUCUCUCUCUCUCUCCCUCUUUUUUUUUUUUUUUUCUUUAGUUGGAGAUAGUUUGGGAUCAGAUGACUCGAGCAUAAGUUUUGGCUUUUUCAUAUAUUUUGGUAGCUGUAUAACUUUAAGGAGGUCACUGUAUUCCCUGAGGCCUUGUUUUCCUCAUCUAUAUAAAAAAGGAGUUAAAUUUUAUUAGAUUUUCUUGAAUUCAAAAAUGUUAUGAUUUAUUAUGAUUUUUAUGAUGACCUGGAGGGAACAUAUACAUGUUCCUAUGAAGCACUUCUUUUUGCCUCCUUUCAAGUUCAGAAAAAUGCCCUGGAUCAGAGCUGCAUUAGAGAAAUUUCCAUCUUCAGUCGGGAAAUGUUUGCUGUGCAAUUUCUUAUAUUACUAAGUAAUUUGGGCCUAUUAGAGGGCCAUUGAAUUUCUUUGGGUCUUAAUCUUCUACAUCUAUAAGACAUUAUGUUUUUAUUCCUGUAUCAUAAUCUUGAUGUUCUCAGGAUGAAAAGCAAUAACCAUUUGUUUUAUUUUUUUAACAAAUAAAUAGAUAUAGGGAUGCUGUGAGGUAAGAGUCCUGUAGCAGGCUAUACAAAACAGUACCACUCUCUACUACCCACCAUGGGUAGGUGGGUAAAAAAAAAAAUCUCUUUUAUUCCAUGGACCAAAGCAUCUGAAAUCACACUACUUAGUCUUUGCUUUAGGAAUUUCCUAUCUCUCUGGGCUGCCCUUUAACAAGUUAUGGCUUGAUGCUUUUGUUUUUCUCCCUUUGCUGGUCAGGGUGGUCGUUGUCAUGCCUGUAUCCAUCACAUGUGCAGGGCUUACUUCCAAAGUGCUCCUAUUCUCCAGCAUGUCCUACCAACACUGUCCUGAGCAGGGAGGCUAUGUCCAGCUGACCCAGAAACCCAGCUCCCAGAUCAUGGAAAUUUUCUACUGAAAAGUCUCAAAAGUUCCAAGGGCCAUAAAAGUUUUGAAUAAAAACACUCUCAAAAGAGGCAGUUCAGGGAGUAGCUAUUUCUUUGAUUUGAUGCAGAAGCUAUCACUAACAUUUGACUAGGUCUGUUCCUGUUGCUAUGUGAAUGCAAUAAAGCUCACCAAAUCAUGAUUGUAUAGUUUUUGCCUACCUUGAGUUGAUACCUUAGAAAGGAUAGAAUUCUCAGCACUUACUUUAUAUCUCAUUGCUGUUUUUUCUGUUUGUUUUGUUUUGUUUUUUAAGGAAGUAUCUAUUUUAAGAAUAUAUUUUCUCAACUUAAGUCUUUUUCUUGGUGAUAAGAUGGAGGUAGAAAAAAUAGUUACACUUGAACAUAAUAUCUUAUUUCCUAGAGGCAGCUGGUUGCCAAUUAAGCAGGAAUAGUAUAAAAUAGCAGGUGGAUAUUUACCCACAAACAACAGAAACCAAAGAGACAGAGAAGGGCCUCAGGAAAGAAGUUGUUAUUGUCAAUAAGAGAAUGAUUAGUGACUUAGGUUGUCUUCAUGCAAUGAUUUUUAUCCCCAUAGUUAGCUGAAAAUCCUAACCUGUCCUUUUCCAACUCUUCUAUAUUUAAAGUAAAUCUACUCAUAUCUCCACUUAUACUUGCACUUACUUUGAAGGCUGGGGAAUAGCUUGUGGGUUGGAACAUCUCCGAUGUUUACAUCCUUCAUUGGUCCUGCAUUACCCCCUCUCUGAGCCUCCUUUGACUCUCCAGGCAGAGUCUGUCGUUUCCUCUCAUUGCUCCCUCACUCUGUGCUUAUUUCUAUCAUGACACGGAUCAUAACAUGUCAUAAUUAUUUGUUUAACAUAUCUAUUUCCCUGCCUAUUAGCUCUUCAGAGGCAGAGGAUGUGGCAAAUGGAAGUUCUCAACGUUGAACAAAUGAAUCAAUACAUGAAUGAGUGAAUGAUGAAAGAGAGAGCUAUCUUAUCAACAGCUCCCUUUCUGAGCCAUUUUCAGUCACCAUGGAGACUCCUAAAAUUUGGAGGUAGGGUAAUCACCUCAGUUUAGCACAGUCAAAGGACUGCUCUGUCCUGUGAUCUACAGUGAGGCUUUAGUUGCAAGUCCUAAGUAUGUUCUUACAGCUUUUUCACAAGGAAUGGGAGGAUGAAUUUCCCCUUUCACUUAGCAGUCCUUGCAGCAUGGCCAGCUGGCUUGUCACAACUGCAGUCUUCAGCAAGUCUUGGCCACAUCUGCAUUGUGACUUUGAAGCUGCUGACCCUAAACUCCAUAUCCCAAGGAGACCUUGAGCUGUUGGGCCAUGGAGGAAGGAAGUGGCUUUGGGAGAAAAAAACAUCUUUUCCAGUUUGUUCAAAAGAAGUUUGAGGCUCAUAACUGACAUUGUACCUAACAACUAACAAACAAUUAUUAAAUAUUUUAGAAUGAGUGAUUGAAUGAAUCCCAAUGCCAGAUCACUGACCUCAUGCUACACCAAAGCAAAUUCAUUCUUUACCAUGGAGCACUCACAUCGUGUUGCCUUUUGCUGACUUCUUUUCUGACUUUACCAUAUAAUUUCCCCUGGGGUUUCUCCUGGAGUCUACUUCUGGGUGGGCAAAUUGUAGAGAGCGGGUUACUUUAAGGCCUCUGGAUGGGCUGAGAAAGUGAGUGAUGUCAAGAGAUGCUAGGUUUUGUCUGGUGUCUCACUUAGAUAAGGAUACUGUGCAGGUCAGUAGGGAUGCAGUGAGAAUAGCACCAACAUGAGGUAGGCUUAGCCUGGAUCCCCUAAUUGUUUUAGACUUUCAAAUAGCUUUUCUUCUGAGAGUUCUAUUUUCUGCAUAAAAUUCCUCCUCAAAUCUGAGUGUCCUCUAGUUGUUUUUAACCCAAGGUUUAGGAGUUUUUAUGAAAUUUGCCUUAGGACAAAUAACUGUGCAGAUUUUCUUAUAAGGUUGACUUUGUUGGUUGAUUGGCUAAUUUAUUGAGAGUCUGUGUACAAGUCACUAGUCAGGAAAUGGGAUGCAGAGAAGGGCUUGGAUGUAGACUCAGCCCUCAAGGACCUUAUUGUUUAGUCAGCAGUUAAGGCAUACAUGUAAGUCGUCAUUUUAUAAGACAGGUCAUAGUAAAGUGGGAAGGGCUCUCUGCUGGGACCAACAGGGAUGGGCCAUGAAAGAUGUGGGCCUUGAAGGAUGGAUGAAAAUGGUGGGCAGGAUGUUGCAUGACAAAGUGUGAAAACACUUAUGUGUCUUUUCCUGUGUCUUGAGUAUAAUAUGAUUGACCAGAGGGAAGAGAGAGAGAGAUAGAGACAGACAGAGAAUAUGAAUCAGUCCUAGGUGCACGAAACCAGAACCACGGGAUUAAGUCACCUCAAAGCCCAUCUGACUUUUGUUCUCCCAGUUGUAUGAGAAAAUGCUUCCUUCUGUUUAGGCCAGUUUGAACUGGGAUUUCUGUUAGUUGCUACAGAAAUUAUCCUGAUGAUAAAAUUUUAUUGAAAAGAGUUUGGAGCCAGACCGUUGAGGAAUUUAGACAAUAUUUCAAAGCAAUGUGGAACUCUUUAAGCUUUUUCAGCUGAGGAAUGAGGUAAUUAAAACUUUAAGAAGAUUAAUCUGGCAGAUGUAUGUAGAAUGGUUUAGAGGAGGGAAGAGAAUAUCCAGAAAGAGGUGGUAUACUCCCUACAGUAAAAGUCUCCACAUGCGGAAUUACAGUGUUUAGGGAACUAGCGUUGAUCUUAAUUCAAGUGAAAUGUUGCAUAUUAAAAUGUAAAAUGAAUCUCUGUACAGCUAAGGAAAAACCCUAGAUUAGAGAACUCCCAUUUGGCCCUUGCAUUGAUUUGCACAGUGUAGUUGUGGUUUGCCUUUUUCUAUUCAGAUCUGUUUAUUCUUAGUUGCCCUAUACAAGAAAGAGAGGGUGGUUUAUGCUGUGGGCUCCUCUCUGUAAUAGGCAUUCUUUCUUCAUCCGGCAGUUUUGGAUUUCCAGAGGUUUCUAGAUUGCCCUUCAAUGCCAGUGGUAUUCAUCAAUGAACAUUCAGAAAAGUUUUGAAAACAACAAACAGUAAGUCAAGGAGUAUCUGGCACCUGGGACCAAAUUCUGCUUGAAAAAGAUUACUUCAUUCCUUAAGGUUCAGUUUGCCAACUGUAAAAUUGAGAUGGUAUAAUAUCCACUUGGAGGGUUGUUAUGAAGAUUAAUGACAUAAGCAAACAUAUAGUAAAUGCCAAUGAUUUAGUUGUGUUUAUGUUUGCCACUUGUUUUAAUUACCAAGAGGCUUGGAAUGGGAGAGUAAAACCUCUGUUCCCUUAGGAAGCUUGAGGCCUACUAGCUUGUCUAGAUUGGUGAUUUUAGAUACCAGUUUAGUAGGCACUAAGAAAAUAGUUCAUAUAUGAUUCUGAAAGGGCAAACAAAAGAAAUGGGCAAUAAUAAAGACACUUUUUGGGAUAUUUAAAAUACAAAGGGCUUUGAUCUUUAAUUUUUGUUGACUUACAGAUGUGAUUUGAACAAAAAAGAUUAUUGAGAUAAAAAAAAGAAUUGAACCAAUGAACUGGAAUGGGGAAAUUAUGGCUUUUGAAGAGUGACAAUUCAAAAGAGAAACGUUGAAUGUUGAUAAUAUCUGUAAACACUCUGUGGUUGUGUGCUGAAAACUGGUAUGCUAUGUUCCCCUGUAUUUGUUUUAAUCUAAUUUUCACCUAACAAAGUUGUAAAAGUAGUAGUUUCUAUUCAAACGUAAGAAAGAAAUACAGGACCGAGGCCCUUCCUGCUUGAACUGUCUUAGGGACUUUCCCAUAAUGCCUAUAAUCCCAAAUGAUACAUUGUGAAUAUCUUUCUGCAGCAAUAUAUAUGUUUCCACAACAUUUUAAAGGAUAGCUUAAUAUUCAUUAUAUGGAUAUGUCAUAAUUUGUUUAAUGCAUCAUUUAUUAUUAGACAAUUUCAUUGCAUUUUAGCUUUCCCCUUUUACAUACAAUGAUGUGAUGACCAUCUUUAUACCAUCAUUUUUAUGUACCUUGCUGGGUGUGCUGGUGCUGAGCAUUUUCUUACUUGGCUCAUUUUAUCCUCAGGACAGCCAGUGUGAUGGCUAUUACUAUUAUCUCCAUUUCACAUACCAGGUGUUGAAGUUCUCAUUCAGUAAUUUGUAAUUUUUAUUUAGCUCAUCAGUGGAAUCAGGACCUGAAACCAGAUUCUAUUGACGUCCUGAUUGGCUCUUAACUGCCACACUGUAUUGAUCUUUUAAAUUACUGCCUUCAGCAAAUUUCUAGACCUGGACUUUCUGGUUAAGCAGAGAUGCACAUUUUAAAGAGUUUUGAUACAUAGUAGCUAAUUGCCUUCCAGAAAAGUAUUUACAUUCUGCUCCCAGUGCAGGGGCGUGGAGCUCAUUUCCCUGCCCCAAUCAAUACUGGCUUUUAUAG
RNAcentral lists this long non-coding RNA (6366 nucleotides) under Sus scrofa (pig). RNAcentral describes it as "lncRNA (ENSSSCG00015036127.1)". The record is from RNAcentral. Lineage: Eukaryota; Metazoa; Chordata; Mammalia; Artiodactyla; Suidae.